UGUGUAGGCGGUUUUCUAAGUUUGGUGUGAAAUCUCCCGGCUCAACCGGGAGGGUGCGCCGAAAACUGGGAGACUAGAGUGCGGGAUGGGAGAGUAGAAUUCCUGGUGUAGCGGUGAAAUGCGUAGAUAUCAGGAGGAAUACCGGUGGUGCAGACGGCUCUCUGGACCGCAACUGACGCUGAGACACGAAAGCGUGGGUAGCAAACA
This 207-nucleotide ribosomal RNA is filed under the name uncultured bacterium. RNAcentral describes it as "partial 16S ribosomal RNA". It matches the Rfam family "Bacterial small subunit ribosomal RNA", at positions 568 to 774 of the family's 1533-position model. The record is from RNAcentral.